RNAcentral lists this long non-coding RNA (355 nucleotides) under Mytilus galloprovincialis (Mediterranean mussel). The record is from RNAcentral. Lineage: Eukaryota; Metazoa; Mollusca; Bivalvia; Mytilida; Mytilidae.
AGUACUACAUCCAUAUCUGAAAAUAUCAUUUUUUUCAAUGGUUUAUUUAUUUGUAUCAAAUGACUUGCAGUAUUUUGAUUAUUUCAUACCCUGGAUUGAAUAUUGAAAUGCGACUUAUGUCCUAUUUCGUCAAUGUUCCACCUGUGUUUUAUCUUUGUAUGAUUCCAACGAACAUUUUACCAAAACGUUAAGUGUUGUAAAUCCCCCAAUAGUCUUUUAAAUUCGGUUCGAUGUUUGCUUUUUACUUAAUUAUAUCCGUAUUUUAGCCAAUAUACCUGUUUCGUCUCUGUUAUUCGAAAUCUGUGAUAAGCUAUUCAUGAUACAGGUUACAGGUACAUUCUUGUUUAUCUAUACC